GACGAACGCUGGCGGCGUGCUUAACACAUGCAAGUCGAACGGAAAGGCGCGGCGCUUGUGGGGUGCUUGAGUGGCGCAAGGGUGAGUAAAACGUGAGUAACCUGUCCUUGACUUUGGGAGAACAUCAGGAAACUGGGGCUAAUAUCGGAUAGGAGCUCUUGCAGCAUGGGGGGGGUUGGAGAGUUUCGGUGGUUGGGGAUUGACUCGCGGCUUAUCCGCUUGAUGGUGGGGUAGUGACUUACCAAGGCUUUGACGGGUAGCCGGCCUGAGAGCGUGACCGGCGACAUUGCGACUACGAUACGGCCCAGACGCCUACCGGAGGCAGCAGUGGAGAAUAUUGCACAGUGGGCGGAAGCCUGAUGCAGCAACGCCGCGUGCGGGAUGACGGCCUUCUGGUUGUAAACCGCUUUCUCCUGUGACGAGGCGUGCGUGACGGUAGUGGAUAAAAAAGCACCGGCUAACUACGUG
Molecule: ribosomal RNA, 468 nt
Filed under: uncultured bacterium
Lineage: Bacteria
Description: partial 16S ribosomal RNA
Rfam family: Bacterial small subunit ribosomal RNA
Source: RNAcentral